This 207-nucleotide unclassified non-coding RNA is filed under the name Hevea brasiliensis (rubber tree). Lineage: Eukaryota; Viridiplantae; Streptophyta; Magnoliopsida; Malpighiales; Euphorbiaceae. The record is from RNAcentral.
AAAUAAACUAAAAAUGUUAUUUGAAAUAAAUUAAAAAAAUUUAUUAAAUUAUCUUUUUUUUUGUAAUAAAUAAUUUUACUUUUUAUUACCGUUCACCGUGGAAAAGUAUUGAAAAUACAUAGACCAUGUUGGUCGUCGGUUAGCUCAUCAAAUUCAAGCUUCCGUACAAAUAAUUUUUCAUUGAACUUCUUUUUUUUUUUUUAAUUU